RNAcentral lists this ribosomal RNA (358 nucleotides) under Ochrobactrum sp. MBR2.33. Its description in RNAcentral is "bacterial SSU rRNA". It matches the Rfam family "Bacterial small subunit ribosomal RNA", at positions 95 to 488 of the family's 1533-position model. The record is from RNAcentral. Lineage: Bacteria; Pseudomonadati; Pseudomonadota; Alphaproteobacteria; Hyphomicrobiales; Brucellaceae.
GCGGCAGACGGGUGAGUAACGCGUGGGAMUCUACCUUUUGCUACGGAAUAACUCAGGGAAACUUGUGCUAAUACCGUAUGUGCCCUUCGGGGGAAAGAUUUAUCGGCAAAGGAUGAGCCCGCGUUGGAUUAGCUAGUUGGUGGGGUAAAGGCCCACCAAGGCGACGAUCCAUAGCUGGUCUGAGAGGAUGAUCAGCCACACUGGGACUGAGACACGGCCCAGACUCCUACGGGAGGCAGCAGUGGGGAAUAUUGGACAAUGGGCGCAAGCCUGAUCCAGCCAUGCCGCGUGAGUGAUGAAGGCCCUAGGGUUGUAAAGCUCUUUCACCGGUGAAGAUAAUGACGGUAACCGGAGAAGA